RNAcentral lists this ribosomal RNA (510 nucleotides) under uncultured bacterium. RNAcentral describes it as "partial 16S ribosomal RNA". It matches the Rfam family "Bacterial small subunit ribosomal RNA", at positions 28 to 507 of the family's 1533-position model. The record is from RNAcentral.
GACGAACGCUGGCGGCGUGCUUAACACGUGCAAGUCGAACGAAGAGCGAUGGAAGCUUGCUUCUAUCAAUCUUAGUGGCGCACGGGUGAGUAACGCGUAAUCAACCUGCCCUUCAGAGGGGGACAACAGUUGGAAACGACUGCUAAUACCGCAUACGAUCCAACCUCGGCAUCGAGGAUGGAUGAAAGGUGGCCUCUAUUUAUAAGCUAUCACUGAAGGAGGGGAUUGCGUCUGAUUAGCUAGUUGGAGGGGUAACGGCCCACCAAGGCAAUGAUCAGUAGCCGGUCUGAGAGGAUGAACGGCCACAUUGGGACUGAGACACGGCCCAGACUCCUACGGGAGGCAGCAGUGGGGAAUCUUCCGCAAUGGACGAAAGUCUGACGGAGCAACGCCGCGUGAGUGAUGACGGCCUUCGGGUUGUAAAGCUCUGUUAAUCGGGACGAAAGGUCUUCUUGCGAAUAGUUAGAAGAAUUGACGGUACCGGAAUAGAAAGCCACGGCUAACUACGUG